UAAGGAAUAUUGGUCAAUGGACGCAAGUCUGAACCAGCCAUGCCGCGUGAAGGAUGAAGGUCCUCUGGAUUGUAAACUUCUUUUAUCUGGACGAAAAAGGGAUUUUUAUCUCAAUUGACGGUACCAGAGGAAUAAGCACCGGCUAACUCCGUGCCAGCAGCCGCGGUAAUAAGGAGAGUGCGAGCGUUAUCCGGAUUUACUGGGUUUAAAGGGUGCGUAGGUGGGCUUAUAAGUCAGUGGUGAAAUCUCCGAGCUUAACUUGGAAACUGCCGUUGAUACUAUAGAUCUUGAAUUAUCUGGAGGUAAGCGGAAUAUGUCAUGUAGCGGUGAAAUGCUUAGAUAUGACAUAGAACACCAAUUGCGAAGGCAGCUUACUACAUAUAAAUUGACGCUGAGGCACGAAAGCGUGGGGAUCAAACA
This 420-nucleotide ribosomal RNA is filed under the name uncultured bacterium. RNAcentral describes it as "bacterial SSU rRNA". It matches the Rfam family "Bacterial small subunit ribosomal RNA", at positions 355 to 774 of the family's 1533-position model. The record is from RNAcentral.